AUUUCAUGAUUAUUUUAUUAUAAAAUUAUUUAUGGUCCAUGAGCUCUAUAAAUUAUUUAGUAUCUCAUUUAUGCAUGAUUUAAGAAAAUAUAAUUCAAUAAAAUAUGAUUAAGAAUGCUUAUUUUAAGAAAUAUAGAAAAAGACUCUCAGAUAGGUAUGUGUAGCCUCUAAAAGUGAAAAAGAUUGACAUCCAGAGCUAGUAUCUAUAUGACCUUGUCAGUGGACAAUAGUUGUUAGCACAUGAUUCUUCUAGCGGAUAAUAGUAGUUGGCAUAUAAUCUUGCCAG
This 286-nucleotide long non-coding RNA is filed under the name Elaeis guineensis (African oil palm). RNAcentral's name for it is "long non-coding RNA (EGUI_LNC025453)". The record is from RNAcentral. Lineage: Eukaryota; Viridiplantae; Streptophyta; Magnoliopsida; Arecales; Arecaceae.